Molecule: ribosomal RNA, 458 nt
Filed under: uncultured bacterium
Lineage: Bacteria
Description: partial 16S ribosomal RNA
Rfam family: Bacterial small subunit ribosomal RNA
Source: RNAcentral
CCUACGGGUGGCAGCAGUGAGGAAUAUUGGUCAAUGGGCGAGAGCCUGAACCAGCCAAGUCGCGUGAGGGAGUACUGCCCUAUGGGUUGUAAACCUCUUUUGUCGGGGAGCAAAAGCCGGACGUGUCCGGCUGUGAGAGUACCCGAAGAAAAAGCAUCGGCUAAAUCCGUGCCAGCAGCCGCGGUAAUACGGAGGAUGCGAGCGUUAUCCGGAUUUAUUGGGUUUAAAGGGUGCGCAGGCGGAUUUUUAAGUCAGCGGUAAAAUCGUGGGGCUCAACCCCAUCCAGCCGUUGAAACUGGGGAUCUAGAGUGUGCGAGAGGUAUGCGGAAUGCGUGGUGUAGCGGUGAAAUGCAUAGAUAUCACGCAGAACCCCGAUUGCGAAGGCAGCAUACCGGUGCACAACUGACGCUCAGGCACGAAAGCGUGGGUAUCGAACAGGAUUAGAUACCCGUGUAGUC